Canis lupus familiaris (dog) is the source of this 936-nucleotide long non-coding RNA. RefSeq lists it as uncharacterized. The record is from RefSeq and is a predicted model, not a curated record. Lineage: Eukaryota; Metazoa; Chordata; Mammalia; Carnivora; Canidae. The transcript has 3 exons.
GAGUCCAACGGGCGGCCCUUUGACUCUCCCCAGAAGGAGGCAGCCCUUCCCUGCCCGCUCCCGUCGCUCCCACCUUGCUUCUGGAGAGCGGGUUUGACGUUCCCACCCCCUCCCCAGCGACCCCCUGGAGAGGAAGGGAGCCAGGAGGGAGGAAGACUCUUCUUUCUCCCACCUGGCGGGUGCGUAGGGAGGGAUACUAAGGCAGCGGAGGGCAGGGAGGGGGGCCGAGGGAACAGGGACCCGAGGGUCUGUCUUAGGGGGAAAAAAGGAUAAACAGAAACCUCAUGGUGUGUCUUUCCAAAAGCCUCAGGACGUCAUGAGUCCUUGAGUGACCCUCCUCAGUUGCCCAGUGAGGUUGGGCACCUUGCAAGGGCGAGAGGACAGGUUUCAGAGGGAGGCAGGUGCACUUUUAGCCGCUUACCUGCCGCCUCCAUGUCCUUACCUGGAAUGCGGGGCAAAGGGCAGCCCAGGGUUAGGUAUGCUUCUGUUGUCUCUACACUUUUUGUUUUUUUAAGAUUUUAUUUAUUUAUUCAUGAGAGACAGGGAGAGAGGCAGGGGCAGAGGGCCAGAUGCCAGACUCCAUCCAAGGACCCAGGGAUCAAGACUUGGCCCUAGGGGCAGCCACUUAACCGCUUAACCGACUGAGCCAUCCAGGCGCCCUGCUGUCUCCACGCUUCCGCUGUUGAAGCAGAGGACCCUGUUUUGUGCUUCCAGGGUGGCAGAACUGACAAGGAAGUUGCGCUGAGCUUCAGGAGGUCCCCUGGAAAUAUUAAGGGGUGGAGACAGAGGCAGAUCAGGAGGAGUCAGGAGAGUCCUUGAUGAUGACAUGUUGAUUCUGAGACCAAGUUUUAAAUGGCGUCUCUUCUGUCAACCUGGCUUGAGAAUGGGUAUGGGUCACAUCUUGGGCCUCAUCUGCAAGAAGAGAUGGGGGUCUGG